UUUACCUGGUUUGUCCUGCCAGUAGUCAUAUGCUUGUCUCAAAGAUUAAGCCAUGCAUGUCUAAGUACAGGCCGACCCAAGGCGAAACCGCAAAUGGCUCAUUAAAUCAGUCAUGAUUCAUUGGAUGUUGAUGAAUCUUUUACUCGGAUAACCGUGGUAAUUCUAGAGCUAAUACGUGCAAUCGAGCUCCGACCCCGCCAUUCCAGGCGGGGGAAGGGCGCAUUUAUUAGAAUCAUAAACCGAGCGGACUGCGGUCCGUCUCAUACGAGGUUGUGAUGACUCUGAAUAACUACGCCGAGCGCUGAGGCCUUCGUGCCGGCGCCGUAUCCUCCGAGUGUCUGCCUUAUCAGCUUUCGAUUGUAGGUUAUACGCCUACAAUGGCUGUAACGGGUAACGGGGAAUCAGGGUUCGAUUCCGGAGAGGGAGCCUGAGAAACGGCUACCACAUCUAAGGAAGGCAGCAGGCACGCAAAUUACCCACUCCCGGCACGGGGAGGUAGUGACGAUAAAUAACGAUGCGGGACUCUUCCGAGGCCUCGCAAUCGGAAUGAGUUCACUCUAAAUACUUGGACGAGGAUCCAUUGGAGGGCAAGUCUGGUGCCAGCAGCCGCGGUAAUUCCAGCUCCAAUAGCGUAUAUUAAAGUUGCUGCGGUUAAAAAGCUCGUAGUUGGACUUUAAGAUACGUACCGGCGGCCCAUCCAAGGCGCGCCCUCGCCGAUCGUCGGCUUAUAAGGCGUUCGCGCUUUAGCCGUUCGGCCCGCCCUUCCCCUAUCGCCCCGCUUCUCCCCCUCCCGAAACCCUCUCGCUCAUUUGCCCCUCUUUUCUCGGGGAGACCGGUCCACACCUGGUUUUUUAGNNNNNNNNNNNNNCAGGCUACGGUGUCCCACUCCCGCAAAAAACGGGAAAACGAGGUGGUCGAGCGAACCAGGGCGACGAGGAUUAAUUGCGGGUCGCGGGCGCGGCGGGUGUCGGGCAAAUAAAGGUCGGGCGGUGUUUAGCUCGGCGAGAGGCGGGUAAGCGCGCCCGGUGGUUCACUUGCCGGCAACGAAUUUUUAAAAGCCGUCGGCGCUCACGGGGUGCUCUUUACCGAGUGUCCCGCGUGGCCGACACGUUCACUUUGAAAAAAUUAGAGUGCUCAAAGCAGGCAAACCUUAUAGCCUGAAUGUAUAUGCAUGGAAUGAUGGAACAGGACCUCGGUUCUGCAUUUUUCUCUCGGUUUUCCGAACCCGAGGUAAUGAUUAACGGGAACGGACGGGGGCAUUAGUAUUGCGACGCUAGAGGUGAAAUUCUUGGACCGUCGCAAGACUAACUACUGCGAAAGCAUUUGCCAAGAACGCUUUCAUUAAUCAAGAACGAAAGUUAGAGGAUCGAAGGCGAUCAGAUACCGCCCUAGUUCUAACCUUAAACGAUGCCAACUGGCGAUCCGCUUACGUUAUUCCCACGACUGAGCGGGGAGCCCCCGGGAAACCAAAGUCUUUGGGUUCCGGGGGAAGUAUGGUUGCAAAGCUGAAACUUAAAGGAAUUGACGGAAGGGCACCACCAGGAGUGGAGCCUGCGGCUUAAUUUGACUCAACACGGGGAACCUCACCAGGCCCAGACACCGGAAGGAUUGACAGAUUGAGAGCUCUUUCUCGAUUCGGUGGGUGGUGGUGCAUGGCCGUUCUUAGUUGGUGGAGCGAUCUGUCUGGUUGAUUCCGAUAACGAACGAGACUCUACCCUACUAACUAGUCGGUGGAUCGUAUCCCGAGACGGGUUCCCCUGUCGGGGGGUUCGGUGCGGUACGUUGGCCCUCCGUCCGCGGCGUCCUUCCCUCUAAAGCGGCGGGAAAAUGCCGUUUUUUCGUCCCUCCUCCCUCCCGGGGCGUUUCGGCGCUUCGGGUGUGGAGGUGGGCGGGAGGCGGCACGACUCGUGCGCGUAGGGGGGCCAAAACGGGGCGUCGCGCGUCGUUAGAGGCGUCGCGUCCGCGCUCGCUACAUUCCCCGUUCAGGGCCCAGCGAGGGGCGUCCACCGCAACAUCUUCUUAGAGGGAUCGGCGGCGUCCAGCCGCACGAGAGAGAGCAAUAACAGGUCUGUGAUGCCCUUAGAUGUUCUGGGCCGCACGCGCGCUACAAUGAAGGGAUCAGCGUGCUUUCCCCCUCCGAAAGGAGCGGGUAACCCGUUGAAACCCCUUCCCGAUUGGGAUUGGGGAUUGCAAGUGUUUCCCAUGAACGAGGAAUUCCCAGUAAGCGCAAGUCAUCAGCUUGCGAUGAUUACGUCCCUGCCCUUUGUACACACCGCCCGUCGCUACUACCGAUUGAAUGAUUCAGUGAGGGCGUCGGACUGGCGCCCUCGGUAGCUCUCGGUUUCGGGCAAUGCGCCUUCGCCCUUCCGGGGCGUUUGGCGGGCUCGGCCGUUAGGCACCCCGGGCCGCCGGAAAGACGUCCGAACUUGAUCAUUUAGAGGAAGUAAAAGUCGUAACAAGGUUUCCGUA
This 2469-nucleotide ribosomal RNA is filed under the name Zuzara sp. RW99.147. Its description in RNAcentral is "partial 18S ribosomal RNA". It matches the Rfam family "Eukaryotic small subunit ribosomal RNA". The record is from RNAcentral. Lineage: Eukaryota; Metazoa; Arthropoda; Malacostraca; Isopoda; Sphaeromatidae.